AAAAAAGUAAGUAGAAUUGCUUCACAUUUGGAAUUACACAAAAAAGAUUUUUCAUCGGAAAGAGGUCUACGAAGACUUUUGGGAAAACGUCGACGUUUGCUGGCUUAUUUAGAUUCAGGCAAUUGCAGAUGA
This 132-nucleotide ribosomal RNA is filed under the name Triticum aestivum (bread wheat). RNAcentral describes it as "partial small subunit ribosomal RNA". The record is from RNAcentral. Lineage: Eukaryota; Viridiplantae; Streptophyta; Magnoliopsida; Poales; Poaceae.